AGGACAGAACAGAUAUAAUUCAUUAACACUACAUUAGACUUUUACAAUAUUACAAUUUACACUUGGCUUCACACUUCAGAACCAAAAACUCUUUGCUAAGUACUGCUUCACACUUGGCUUCACAUCUUUCACACUUGGCUUCACAGCUUCACACUCCAAAAAAAUAGGCCUGGAGCUCCUGUAAAAGAAUGAACAUAAAGGCCACCAAAAUUUGAGUGUACUGCUGCUGAGGCUAGAACCAAACAACUUCAAUAUUACAAUAAAAAGAAUUCUCAGGUUUAUCAAGCACAGCAAAGCAGCAGUGUGGCCAUCAGUCAGAUCUGAAUAUACAACAAAAGAGGUCUCAGGUUUAGACUGAAAAGGAAGAGCUAGUUAUGCAUGAUGUCUCAGGUUUAAACAAAAGAUCAAGACCACAAUUUUAACAAGAGAUAUAUAGUCAGUCCAAUUGAACAAAACCUAGACAGUUGCAUUAUGAGUAUUUAAGUGGAGAUGUAGCAGGCAAUCAAAUGAAUAUAUUCUGGAGAUGAUGAAUAAAAUUAGGCAAUCAACAGCUUAAGCAUCACAAGAAUGAGAAGAACAAGAAUGUGUUAGCAGCACAAGAAUUAGUAGCACAUACAUGUCUGCAUGAUCCAACAAGAAUGAUUAUAUUCAAUUUUGUUAGCAGCACAAGAAUGAGCAAUAGCAGCACAAGCAGCACCACCACCAGCACAAGUGCACACCUAUUCAAGCAAGCAGCUAGCAGUAGAAGCAUUCAAACAGCAGCAGCACUGUCACAUGUCAUAUCUUAUAAACUUAGGCAUGUGUUCUCAGGUUAUCCUUAACAUCACGCACUAACUUGGGUAAUUAGCAGCAAACAAUACAUAUCAGUACAAGGCUAGGCAAGAUAAUAAAGACUUGGGAAAAGAUAGCAGAUUUAAAAAAAUGAUACAUGCCCUUGAAGAGAGGGCAGUGGCAAGCGUGACCAUGAACAUAUGCAUUAGCCGCACCCACGACCCCUGGAUGCUCUCACGACUGAAAAGGAGGUUCCUUGCAUAUGGUCUCCUUCGGGUCUGCGAGAGAAAGAACGAGGUGAGGGCCAGAUCAGCUUAAGCAUACAAGCACACUAUAGCCUACAAACGUAUCAGUAUACAGGCAGCAAUAGUAUCCUCGAGCACAGCAAAACAGUAGCUUGACCCAUAUAAGUCAUAACUCUGAAGAAAGAAAGAAAGAACAGGUUCAGCUAGCUAAGUAUUCAGAGUUGAGAGCUAAGUAAUUUGUUUGUUUAUGCUGUAACUGACAGACCUAGUAUGAGAAACAAGCAAAGUAAAACAGUAUUGAUUCGAUGGCAAAACAAGCUAAGCUACUUAGCUAGUAGGUGACCAUCCAAUCCAUGAUGCAGCAGCAGGUGCAAAUAUAAUAUGAUGUGAAGAAGACGCUAGCUGGAGUGGUGGGGGAUGAAACCAAAAUUACAAAGCAUAGUCGGACGCUGGAACCAAAAAAACUAGAUGAAUCUCACUAACAGGAGCACUAGGUGAUUAAUGGAAGAAGUAAUCUGCAAAUUACAAAGUGAACAAGUGAAGGAUUUAUAUCUCUCUGUGUGGAACAACUAAGUUGAUGAAGACAUGCAGCAUCAACAGCGAAGCCUUGCAUCAUUUGUUUGGUCGGGUCGACGCUGGAAAGAGCGCCGCUGUACAUGAUCAGCACAUGAGUGGCUCAACCUCUCUAUCCCCUACCUCAACUUGCCCGUGUGGUUGCUGCAGUUCGAUACAAGUGUGUAAAUACAACAUACUUUGCAUCAUAUAUCUAGACUACAACAUCUUAUUCUCACCAACAUUUAUGCAUCAAAAUCACUACUGAAAGUAAAAAGAUGGCAUGUAGUAAACUGGUAAUAGUAACAGGCUGUUGUAGUAGUAUAUAUUUAUGGUAGGUCAAUGGCAGAGCAUGAAGGUUCCAUGAGGUUGCAUGUAGUACUACUUCGAAGGUACAAAUUUUGUAGCUAGUGUAUGUGCCAUACUAUAUCAUGCUAAUGCAUGGGCAUACAAGAUGCAGUAAAGAGAGCUCAUAUAGUUCAUUGAGCACAAAUUAACAAGCAAGAGUAGCAUAUGACAAUUAUGCGCCAAGUUUGUUGUCAUUGCACUGGUAACCAACAAGGUUAAGUUUCAGUAACUGCAAACAUGCAUUGUCAUGUGAGUAUAUGACCGCUAGCAAUAACACAGCAAGCAUGUUUUAGAGAGAUAGUACUAGCAAGCAUAGUUCUGUCUGAACCCUUUUUUCACAUAUGGAUGUGUUAGCGCUACAACUAACAUUAAAGCUAAAUAUAUAUCCAUGUUAUAGCAGUAAAUAAAUAUACAUAGAGCACAGCGAUGAAGUCAAGCUCAGGGCUUCACCUUGCUUAGUAAUUUUGUUUCCAGACCACAAAAUGUACACCAGAUCAUCUACUCAUCAUCUACAACAACUCAAAGUGGCAGUAGCUCAAAAACAAGCAAAACAACUACUUAGUUCUUAGUCUCGAAGCUCAUAGGGCAGUCUGAUAAGCAUGGACAAAAAUAAACAGAUGCGUAUCAGAUGGAAACAAGCAAAACAACUACUUAGUCCUGAACAUGGUGCGAAGUAUACUCUCUAAAAAAUACUCCCUGCAUCCGGAAAUGCUUGAAAUAAGGGUGCA
Molecule: long non-coding RNA, 2644 nt
Filed under: Triticum aestivum (bread wheat)
Lineage: Eukaryota; Viridiplantae; Streptophyta; Magnoliopsida; Poales; Poaceae
Description: long non-coding RNA (TAES_LNC026131)
Source: RNAcentral